UACAGAGGGUGCAAGCGUUGUUCGGAAUUAUUGGGCGUAAAGCGCGUGUAGGCGGCAUGGCAAGUCGGGUGUGAAAGCCCUCAGCUUAACUGAGGAAGUGCGCCCGAAACUGCCGUACUUGAGUGCCGGAGAGGGUGGCGGAAUUCCCCAAGUAGAGGUGAAAUUCGUAGAUAUGGGGAGGAACACCGGUGGCGAAGGCGGCCACCUGGACGGUAACUGACGCUGAGACGCGAAAGCGUGGGGAGCAAACAGG
RNAcentral lists this ribosomal RNA (253 nucleotides) under uncultured bacterium. Its description in RNAcentral is "partial 16S ribosomal RNA". It matches the Rfam family "Bacterial small subunit ribosomal RNA", at positions 524 to 776 of the family's 1533-position model. The record is from RNAcentral.